AAUUUUAAGGUCAAGCUACAAAGGGCGCAUGGUGAAUGCCUUGGCACUAGGAGCCGAAGAAGGACGCGAUAAGCUGCGAUAAGCCUUGGGUAGCCGCAAAUAGGCUGAGAUCCAGGGAUUUCCGAAUGAGGAAACUCACAUGGGUAACCCCAUGUAUCAUGCACUGAAUACAUAGGUGUAUGAGGGUAAACCCGGGGAACUGAAACAUCUAAGUACCCGGAGGAAGAGAAAGAAAAAUCGAUUUCCUAAGUAGCGGCGAGCGAACGGGAAAGAGCCCAAACCAGAAACUUGUUUCUGGGGUUGUGGAUAGAUCAUAAAAGAAGAGGUAUCUUAAUCGAAGAGGGCUGGAACGCCCUACCAUAGAAGGUAAUAGUCCUGUAGAUAAAAAGAGAAAACUUUAAGAUCUAAUCCAGAGUACCACGAGACACGUGAAACCUUGUGGGAAGCAGGGAGGACCACCUCCCAAGGCUAAAUACUACCUAGUGACCGAUAGUGAAGCAGUACCGUGAGGGAAAGGUGAAAAGAACCCCGGAAGGGGAGUGAAAUAGAACCUGAAACCGUGUGCCUACAACCGAUCGGAGCACGUUAAAGUGUGACGAUGUGCUUUUUGUAGAACGAGCCAGCGAGUUACGCUAUGUAGCAAGGUUAAGUACUUAAGGUAUGGAGCCGAAGGGAAACCGAGUCUGAAAAGGGCGAAAAGUUGCAUGGUGUAGACCCGAAACCGGGUGACCUAUCCAUGGCCAGGUUGAAGCGAGAGUAAAAUCUCGUGGAGGACCGAACCACGUUGGUGUUGAAAAACCAUGGGAUGAGCUGUGGAUAGCGGAGAAAUUCCAAUCGAACUCGGAGAUAGCUGGUUCUCCUCGAAAUAGCUUUAGGGCUAGCGUCGUGUAAUUGAGUAAUGGAGGUAGAGCACUGAAUGGGCUAGGGGCUAUAGUAGUUACCGAACCCUAUCAAACUCCGAAUGCCAUAUACUUGUAUCACGGCAGUCAGACUGCGAAUGAUAAGAUCCGUAGUCAAAAGGGAAACAGCCCAGACCAUCAGCUAAGGUCCCAAAGUGUAAGUUAAGUGGAAAAGGAUGUGGGAUUUCUAAGACAACUAGGAUGUUGGCUUAGAAGCAGCCACUCAUUUAAAGAGUGCGUAAUAGCUCACUAGUCAAGAGAUCCUGCGCCGAAGAUGUCCGGGGCUCAAACUUACCACCGAAGCUAUGGGUGUACACUAUGUGUACGCGGUAGAGGAGCUUUCUGUAUGGGUUGAAGUCGUACCGUAAGGAGCGGUGGACUGUACAGAAGUGAGAAUGCUGGCAUAAGUAGCGAGAAAUAAGUGAGAAUCUUAUUGGCCGAAAACCUAAGGUUUCCUGAGGAAGGUUCGUCCGCUCAGGGUUAGUCGGGACCUAAGCCGAGGCCGAAAGGCGUAGGUGAUGGACAAUCGGUUGAUAUUCCGAUACCACCUAUUUACGUUUGAGAAAUGGGGUGACGCAGUAGGAUAAGAUGUGCGCACUAUUGGAUGUGCGUCUAAGCACUUAGGCAUGCUUGAUAGGCAAAUCCGUCGAGCUAAGCUGAGGUGUGAUGGGGAGCCAUUUAUGGCGAAGUAUCUGAUUCCACACUGCCAAGAAAAGCCUCUAUCGAGUGAAUAGGUGCCCGUACCGCAAACCGACACAGGUAGGUGAGGAGAGAAUCCUAAGGCCAUCGGAAGAAUUGCUGUUAAGGAACUCGGCAAAUUGACCCCGUAACUUCGGGAGAAGGGGUGCCUACGAAAGUAGGCCGCAGAGAAUAGGCCCAAGCAACUGUUUAGCAAAAACACAGGUCUCUGCUAAAGCGAAAGCUGAUGUAUAGGGGCUGACGCCUGCCCGGUGCUGGAAGGUUAAGGGGAACACUUAGCGUAAGCGAAGGUGUGAACUUAAGCCCCAGUAAACGGCGGCCGUAACUAUAACGGUCCUAAGGUAGCGAAAUUCCUUGUCGGGUAAGUUCCGACCCGCACGAAUGGCGUAAUGAUUUGGGCACUGUCUCAACAGCAAAUCCGGCGAAAUUGUAGUGCAAGUGAAGAUGCUUGCUACCCGCGAUUGGACGGAAAGACCCCGUAGAGCUUUACUGUAGCUUAGCAUUGAAUCUCGGUAUUGUCUGUACAGGAUAGGUGGGAGACUUGGAA
Molecule: ribosomal RNA, 2145 nt
Filed under: Clostridium botulinum
Lineage: Bacteria; Bacillati; Bacillota; Clostridia; Eubacteriales; Clostridiaceae
Description: partial 23S ribosomal RNA
Rfam family: Bacterial large subunit ribosomal RNA
Source: RNAcentral